CUAAUCUCUAAUUUACCUCACAUUAAAGGGACACUAUAGUCCCCAGAACCACUGCAGCUUAAUGUAGUGGUUCUGGUGUCUAGCCUGUCCCUGCAGGCCUUUUAAUGUAAACACGGCGGCACUGCAGCACUGGCAUUAGUUAACAUGGCAGACCAUAUAGGUGGGGCAUUGUGAUGUCACAUGGGGGGUGGCAAACUUUACUUUUGCCUAGGGCGGCAAAAAUCCUUGCACC
Non-coding RNA from Pelobates cultripes (western spadefoot toad), 232 nucleotides. NCBI's taxonomy places the organism in Eukaryota, Metazoa, Chordata, Amphibia, Anura, Pelobatidae. The record is from the annotation of a GenBank genome assembly.